Molecule: ribosomal RNA, 578 nt
Filed under: Aspergillus sydowii
Lineage: Eukaryota; Fungi; Ascomycota; Eurotiomycetes; Eurotiales; Aspergillaceae
Description: partial large subunit ribosomal RNA
Rfam family: Eukaryotic large subunit ribosomal RNA
Source: RNAcentral
CGCAACGGGGAUGCUCAGUACGGCGAGUGAAGCGGCAAGAGCUCAAAUUUGAAAUCUGGCCCCUCCGGGGUCCGAGUUGUAAUUUGCAGAGGAUGCUUCGGGUGCGGCCCCUGUCUAAGUGCCCUGGAACGGGCCGUCAGAGAGGGUGAGAAUCCCGUCUUGGGCAGGGUGCCCGUGCCCGUGUGAAGCUCCUUCGACGAGUCGAGUUGUUUGGGAAUGCAGCUCAAAAUGGGUGGUAAAUUUCAUCUAAAGCUAAAUACCGGCCGGAGACCGAUAGCGCACAAGUAGAGUGAUCGAAAGAUGAAAAGCACUUUGAAAAGAGAGUUAAACAGCACGUGAAAUUGUUGAAAGGGAAGCGCUUGCAACCAGACUCGGCCUCGGGGUUCAGCCAGCAUUCGUGCUGGUGUACUUCCCCGGGGCCGGGCCAGCGUCGGUUUGGGCGGCCGGUCAAAGGCCCCAGGAAUGUAUCGUCCUCCGGGACGUCUUAUAGCCUGGGGUGCAAUGCGGCCAGCCUGGACCGAGGAACGCGCUUCGGCACGGACGCUGGCGUAAUGGUCGCAAACGACCCGUCUUGAAAC